ACUGAUUCUAUGGCUCACGACUUAAAGAAAUCACAUUAAUGCAAGUGUCCAAUCAGGUAUUAAGCAAACCAGCAAAAGUCGUGCAAAUCAAAUAAGUGCUACACACUCAGUCCCUCAUCACUGCAGCCUGUCUUGGUAUUAUCGCAUCAGCUGUAAUCUAAAGCCAACAACACCUGGUGAUAAUUACUACCUCAUCACGUAUCCUGUGUGCUGUAUGCUGCCUGUGGCGAUGGCUGAGGCUGGAUAUUGUCCAGUAGACGGCAAGGAUCUCGUCUAAUUUAGUGGUAUAAUGUGGUACUGCUGCUGAGAGAGAGAGAGAGAGAGAGAGAGAGAGAGAGAGAGAGAGAGAGAGAGAGUAUACGUGAUAUUUCAUAAACUGUAUUAUGCGCACUACAUACUUUUACUCGAUUGUGUUUCACUGACUCUAUUAGUCCUCCUCCUCCUCCUCCUCCUCCUCCUCCUCCUUAAUGUCUUACUUUCAGUUCACUAGUCUCCUCACACCACCAAGCAAAGGUGUUCUCAUUAUCUAAUUACCAUUAUGUUCCUCUUUCUUCCAGUCAUCUCAUUAUUUCCCAUGCUUAUCGGAAUUAACACGGUGAUGCAAGGCGCAAGAUGAAAAUUCAGCUUUUGCAACGGGGUUUAAAAAAUGGUUAUAGCCUAUCUAUUGUGCCUUAUAUAAUAUUUAAAUGACACUGAUUAAUGUUUCUCAAAUUCUACAGUUGUUUAUGCUAUCUAUCUCUUUGUUUUUGCAUUGCCUUUUAAAAAUUGGCAUUUGGACGACGCGAUCAGCUGACGAUGUAAACAAGACGAAGCAUCAGCUGGAGGUCUGCCAAAGAUUGCCUACCACCAACAACAAUCUUCGUUUCUUAACCCGAAAAGAGCUAAAACACCAUCUUGGAAUAUCAGCAGAACCGUGAAUUACUGUGGGAAGUGUUAAGCAAUGAGGGCUGAACGGGACUAAGUGGUGUUGAGGAGGAGACAUAGUGUAAUAGAAGAGAAAGGAGGCAGGGUAAGGCAAGGCUGGAACAGUUCAGCACUACGUCGCAGCAAUAUGGAUUCCUUAGAGCUCUUCCGACAGUGCAAGAAAGGAAACAUUGAGGAAGUAAGGUACCUAGUAGAGCAGCGGGAUGUUGAUGUCAACGUUCGAGAUAUCUGGGACAGCACUCCCUUAUACUAUGCCUGCCUGUGUGGACAUCUACAGUUGGUUGAGUAUCUCAUUGGAGUUGGUGCACACUGUGAAGCGAACACUUUUGAUGGGGAGCGUUGCCUGUAUGGGGCACUGACUGACAGCAUCCGGAAGAUUCUGACUCAACACAACCUGGUCACCACGCACACCAUCAGGAGGGAUGCUUAUGAGGAAUUCCUAAGAAGGUUGUUUGAAAGUGGGGAGCACAGUGACAUAACCUUUGUGGUGCAGGGGGAGAAUGUGCCCCUCCAUCGCUGCCUCCUCUCAGCACGAUCUGAGUAUUUUAGGGACAUGUUCUCCACCCGCUGGCGAGACCGAACCACCGUCACCAUAAACAGAGACCAGGUGCUGCCAGAUGCCUUCCGUGCAGUAAUGAAGUACAUCUACACAGGGAGGUUUGAGUGUCCUGUAGAGUUAGUUGAGUGCUGUAUCAGAAUUGGCACCAACUGUAAGCUACCCAAUUUUAAGACCAUCAUACAAGAAGCCCAGAAGAAGGCACAGGUGCUACAGCAAGGCAAGCAUGGACUGGUGAGAGUGACCCGAGUGGUGGUGGAGCCCGGGUCGUGUCAGGAUCAUGUCGGAUGGCAGAGUGUGGGGGCUGACCUGCGGGAGUUGGCCCAGUCCACCUUGCCGCCUGACCUCCGCUUCUGGCCCACGGAAAUGCCCUUCUGCCACACCUUAGACCAGACUAACUUUGCUGAUGUGUGCUUCAUGGUGGGCGACCAUCCGUUUUAUUGCCACAAGAUGUUCUUCUGUCCGAGGAGUGAGUACUUCCAGGCACUGCUAAGGGACCACUUCCAAGAGACAAGCUGGCAGAACACCUCUGGAUGUAGUCUGCCUGUGGUGUUCCUCCAUAACAUCUCUCCUGAGGUGUUUGCCACUCUGGUCCAUUACCUCUAUUGCAACCAGACAAUUGUGAGUAUGGAGACAGCCAUGGAGGUGAUGAUGGUGGCGGACAUGUUCCUGGUGCCGGGUCUCACCAGACAGUGUGGGGUGUACCUUGGGUCCUGCCUGCAGAUACACAGUGUUGUUACCAUCCUCAAGCUGGCCCGACUUUUCCAGUUGCCGCGCCUCGAAGACCAGUGUGUGGCUUUCAUGGCCAAGAAUCUCGACCAGGUGGUGGAAUUGGAGCAGUUCCAGACACUGGUGUUGCAAGAUGCAGAGGAAGUGAAAGGUCGUCAGGAAACAGACUCUGUCCAGGUUGUGGAUGACCUGCGGCACCAGAUCUCCUGUGGUGUGCAGACCAUCUCAGGCAUCCAGGAGGCGCGCACCAAGCUGGCCACGCUGGAGGCCUUGCUGGAGGAGCUGGGCAUUGAAGCCUAGAGAGAGAGAGAGAGAGAGAGAGAGAGAGAGAGAGAGAGAGAGAGAGAGAGAGAGAGAGAGAGAGAGAGAGAGAGAGAGAGAGAGAGAGAGAGAGAGAGAGAGAGAGAGAGA
Molecule: unclassified non-coding RNA, 2620 nt
Filed under: Portunus trituberculatus (swimming crab)
Lineage: Eukaryota; Metazoa; Arthropoda; Malacostraca; Decapoda; Portunidae
Description: ankyrin repeat and BTB/POZ domain-containing protein 1-like, transcript variant X3
Source: RNAcentral